Molecule: long non-coding RNA, 1307 nt
Organism: Acyrthosiphon pisum (pea aphid)
Lineage: Eukaryota; Metazoa; Arthropoda; Insecta; Hemiptera; Aphididae
Exons: 8
Source: RefSeq, a predicted model, not a curated record
AGGUUGAUUUUAAAAUUAUUUCAAUCAUAGUCCAUACAUUGUAUUUUUAUAUGACCGUGCAUAGACCUGUUAACUAUAAUAUGUUAGUAUAUUAAGUUAGUUUACUUUAGUUAAUAAAUAGUAGCAAAUUGGUCUAUGAUCUCAAUGUUCUAAUGCUCAAUCACAACUGACAACUGUGCACAGCGAAUACUCUCGGUGACUAACGUCUACCGUAACUAGAUGAAUAGGUACCAUACACUGUUCAUCGUAUUGCGAAGGUGAUCAAAUGUGUAUUCCAAAAUCUAAUGAAUGCAAAUCUACAAAUUAUACAAAUAUCACUCAAACUGUUAAAGCAUUUGAACUCAUGCAAUAUUUACGCGAAUAUGAAGUCUUAACGUGAUAUAAGACUGAAAACUAAUGAUGAUAAUCGUAUUUCGACACAAAGUUGUAUUAAUGUCAGCUAGUCAAUAUUUUCGGGCUACGUUUGCUAAUUUUAGUGAAAACAAAAAAGAUAUUGUUGAUAUAUGAAAACUAGAUUUCACUGUUUUAAACAAUAUAUUGGUAGAUUAUAAUUACAGUGGGAAGAUCAUGAUCAGGAAAGAAAAUGUACAGUUUCUCAAGGUUGCAAAAUGUAAUGUCUUACAGUUAGACUAUGUAAAAGGCGCAUGUGCUAAGAUUUUACAGAAACAACUAAAUCCAACCCAUUGUCUUUACACUAGAUCAUCUGCUGAUUUAUCUACAUAACUGUUCAGAAUUGUUAUAAAGUUCUGAAGCAUACAUUGGAAAAAAGUUUCUGUAUGAUAAAUAUAUGUGGUUAAAGGUGAUGAAUUUCUAUCUCUAUCUACUGAAUAAUUGAUUAUGCUAAACUCUGGUAAUGUUCUUAAUGCCCCUGUUUCUUGAAGAAAAAGUGUAUAUGACUGUGUUAUUAAUUGGGUAAAGCAUGAAUUAAACGUUAGAUAUGAUAGUUUGGCGAAAGUAAUAGAACAUGUAUGUUUGCCUUUAGCAUCAUUAGAGUGCAUACGAUGAAUGUAGUCAAAUGAACCUCUUUUUAAAAAUUUUCCUAAAAUUAAAGAUUAUUUAAUCAAAGCUUUUCAAUUUCGUAUACUUAAGACUCAACAACUAACUAUUCCACAAACUAUUCGAAAUACACCUAGAAUGUCUGGACAAAAGGUUAUUCUAGUAUUCAGGCGUUCACGUGGAACCUUGUGUAUGAUCCAACAACUAACUUAACGCAGCAGCAUUUACCAGAAACCAGUUUGAUGGAUUAUUUUUGUGUAAAUAAGCUUUACUUAAUAUCAAAGAAUAUUUUGUUAUUCUUUCUGAAAGUU